UACGAAGGGGGCUAGCGUUGCUCGGAAUCACUGGGCGUAAAGGGUGCGUAGGCGGGUCUUUAAGUCAGGGGUGAAAUCCUGGAGCUCAACUCCAGAACUGCCUUUGAUACUGAAGAUCUUGAGUUCGGGAGAGGUGAGUGGAACUGCGAGUGUAGCGGUGAAAUGCGUAGAUAUUGGGAGGAACACCGGUGGCGAAGGCGGCAUCCUGGACCAACACUGACGCUGAGUGAGCGAAAGCCAGGGGAGCAAACGGG
This 254-nucleotide ribosomal RNA is filed under the name uncultured bacterium. RNAcentral's name for it is "partial 16S ribosomal RNA". It matches the Rfam family "Bacterial small subunit ribosomal RNA", at positions 524 to 776 of the family's 1533-position model. The record is from RNAcentral.